Molecule: ribosomal RNA, 642 nt
Filed under: Triticum aestivum (bread wheat)
Lineage: Eukaryota; Viridiplantae; Streptophyta; Magnoliopsida; Poales; Poaceae
Description: partial small subunit ribosomal RNA
Source: RNAcentral
AUGUUUUUGAAAAUUGUUGGGCAAUAUCACACUCAUUCCUCUGUAGGAUUUGCAUUGUGGCGAUCUGAGGAGACAGUGAGUAGAUUCACGUAUGUUCUAGCAGGGUGGGAGGGAUCUGCUCAUGAUUCUGCUGUAUUGCAUGAUGCCCUAUCUCGAAAAUUUUAUUUGGCUGAUGCUGGGUAUGCCACCAGGCCGGGCAUAUUGCCACCCUAUCGAGGUGUUCGCUAUCAUCUGCAGGAGUUCCAUGGUCCGAAUCGUCCAACCUCUCCAAAAGAGCUGUUCAACCACCAUCAUUCCUCACUAAGGACAACGGUCGAGCGAGCCUUUGCAGCUAUUAAGAAUCGUUUCAAGAUUCUUAGUAAUAGACCUUUCGUACCCUUGAAAUCACAACCCAAGGUGGUUAUUGCUUGUUGCGUCAUUCACAACUGGAUUUUAGACAAUGGACCUGAUGAGUUUGUAGAUGACGAACCAACUUGGUACCACCACCUGCCAAGGAGUAGCAAUCGUGUCUCCGACCGAGAGAGUGAUGUACGCGAGUGGGCAGCCAAGCGUGAUUUGAUUGCCCAACAGAUGUGGAAUGAUAGAGAGAGAUUGGCAAACAAUUAUGCUUCAGACAGCGGGAGCAGUGCUAGUACCAUUUGA